CUGGAAUAGUUUGCUUUUUCCUUCUCUAGCUCAUUUUAUAGAUGAAGAAACAGAGGCAAAUAGGAUGAAGUUCUCUCUCUCUCUCUCUCUCUCUCUCUCUCUCUCUCUCUCUUUCUUUCUUUCUUUCUUUCUUUCUUUCUUUCUUUCUUUCUUUCUUUCUUUCUUUCUUUCUUUCUUUCUUUCUUUCUUUCUUUCUUUCUUUCUUUCUUUCUUUCUUUCUUUCUUUCUUUCUUUCUCUCUCUUUCUUCCUCUCUCUUCCUUCCUUCCUUCAUUCCUUCCUUCCUUCCUUCCUUCCUUCCUUCCU
Molecule: long non-coding RNA, 304 nt
Filed under: Monodelphis domestica (gray short-tailed opossum)
Lineage: Eukaryota; Metazoa; Chordata; Mammalia; Didelphimorphia; Didelphidae
Description: lncRNA (ENSMODG00000044103.1)
Source: RNAcentral